AUCCUGGCUCAGGACGAACGCUGGCGGCGUGCUUAACACAUGCAAGUCGAACGCUGAAGCCUAGCUUUUGUUGGGUGGAUGAGUGGCGAACGGGUGAGUAACACGUGAGUAACCUGCCCCCUUCUUUGGGAUAACGCCCGGAAACGGGUGCUAAUACUGGAUAUUCACUGAUCUUCGCAUGGGGGUUGGUGGAAAGGUUUUUUCUGGUGGGGGAUGGGCUCGCGGCCUAUCAGCUUGUUGGUGGGGUGAUGGCCUACCAAGGCUUUGACGGGUAGCCGGCCUGAGAGGGUGACCGGUCACAUUGGGACUGAGAUACGGCCCAGACUCCUACGGGAGGCAGCAGUGGGGAAUAUUGCACAAUGGGCGAAAGCCUGAUGCAGCGACGCCGCGUGAGGGAUGGAGGCCUUCGGGUUGUAAACCUCUUUCGCUCAUGGUCAAGCCGCAACAUUGGUUGUGGUGAGGGUAGUGGGUAAAGAAGCGCCGGCUAACUACGUGCCAGCAGCCGC
This 506-nucleotide ribosomal RNA is filed under the name Schaalia odontolytica. Its description in RNAcentral is "bacterial SSU rRNA". It matches the Rfam family "Bacterial small subunit ribosomal RNA", at positions 16 to 518 of the family's 1533-position model. Lineage: Bacteria; Bacillati; Actinomycetota; Actinomycetes; Actinomycetales; Actinomycetaceae. The record is from RNAcentral.